RNA transcript from Nomascus leucogenys (northern white-cheeked gibbon), 3304 nucleotides. It is a transcript of the gene named protein phosphatase methylesterase 1, with no coding region annotated. The transcript is spliced from 13 exons. NCBI's taxonomy places the organism in Eukaryota, Metazoa, Chordata, Mammalia, Primates, Hylobatidae. The record is from RefSeq and is a predicted model, not a curated record.
AUUGCCCAGGGUGCAUUGCCCUGAAGAGCGCUCCUCUUUCCGGUGAAAGUCGUCGAGUUCCCAGCCGGGAGUCUGCGGAGUUCGCAUACUCUGUUACCCAGCUUCCUUUGUGUGAGGGCUGUUGCGCACUUCCGGUGGAAGCGCUGAAGCGAGUGGGUGGAGUUUACGGAGCCGGUGGGCGGUAGGCGGUGCUACCGGUAGCUGGGUGCUGUCCAAAGGCGACAGGGCAUCGUUAGGGGAGCGAGUCGUGACCGGUUGGGCCACACUCAACGUGGGACGAAGCUUCGCCUACUGUUUGACUACGUGCGUGCAGCCUCCCCUUGAUGUCGGCCCUCGAAAAGAGCAUGCACCUCGGCCGCCUUCCCUCUCGCCCACCUCUACCCGGCAGCGGGGGCAGUCAGAGCGGAGCCAAGAUGCGAAUGGGCCCUGGAAGAAAGCGGGACUUUUCCCCUGUUCCUUGGAGUCAGUAUUUUGAGUCCAUGGAAGAUGUAGAAGUAGAGAAUGAAACUGGCAAGGAUACUUUUCGAGUCUACAAGAGUGGUUCAGAGGGUCCAGUCCUGCUCCUUCUGCAUGGAGGAGGUCAUUCUGCCCUUUCUUGGGCUGUGUUCACGGCAGCGAUUAUUAGUAGAGUUCAGUGUAGGAUUGUGGCUUUGGAUCUGCGAAGUCAUGGUGAAACAAAAGUCAAGAAUCCUGAAGAUCUGUCUGCAGAAACAAUGGCAAAAGACGUUGGCAAUGUGGUUGAAGCCAUGUAUGGGGACCUUCCUCCUCCAAUUAUGCUGAUUGGACAUAGCAUGGGUGGUGCUAUUGCAGUCCACACAGCAUCAUCCAACCUGGUACCAAGCCUCUUGGGUCUGUGCAUGAUUGAUGUUGUAGAAGGUACAGCUAUGGAUGCACUUAAUAGCAUGCAGAAUUUCUUACGGGGUCGUCCUAAAACCUUCAAGUCUCUGGAGAAUGCUAUUGAAUGGAGUGUGAAGAGUGGCCAGAUUCGAAAUCUGGAGUCUGCCCGUGUCUCAAUGGUUGGCCAAGUCAAACAGUGUGAAGGAAUUACAAGUCCAGAAGGUUCAAAAUCUAUAGUGGAAGGAAUCAUAGAGGAAGAAGAAGAAGAUGAGGAAGGAAGUGAGUCUAUAAGCAAGAGGAAAAAGGAAGAUGACAUGGAGACCAAGAAAGACCAUCCAUACACCUGGAGAAUUGAACUGGCAAAAACAGAAAAAUACUGGGACGGCUGGUUCCGAGGCUUAUCCAAUCUCUUUCUUAGUUGUCCCAUUCCUAAAUUGCUGCUCCUGGCUGGUGUUGAUAGAUUGGAUAAAGAUCUGACCAUUGGCCAGAUGCAAGGGAAGUUCCAGAUGCAGGUCCUACCCCAGUGUGGCCAUGCAGUCCAUGAGGAUGCCCCUGACAAGGUGAGUCUGGUGCUCAAUGACUGUAAAAGGACAACUGUGAGAAUAACCCUGGAUGUCACAGAAGACAAGUCUCUGAGUCUCAGCCUGCAUUGCCUGCAGCAGCUGCUGUGGAGCCUAUGCAGAUGCAAUUCCACCAGCUCUCCAACUUCUCCCUGGCAGCUGCUUAUGGUAUUGGUUUUGUGUAUAUGUGCUGAGGAGCUACUGACACCCUACUAUUUCAUCCCAGGGCCCUGUGGUUAAGAUCUUAAGCUCUACUUCUCCAAUACCCCCAAAAGCCAGAUGGAAGAGGGAUGAUUAGGGUAGAAACUGCUCCCUAAACCACAGGCACAGUUAGGAAUUAAUAUGGGCUCCUCCUGUGAGAAAACACCAUUUUGUAACUCUAAGGGCACAAAUAAGCCCUUCACAUCAUUCCUCUUGAGCUCUAUGGAGCUAUCCCUGGCAAGGAUGGUGGGGAGGAGUCUUCUAGCUCUGCUAGGGAGGGCCUAGGUCCUUUUAAUUUCAAGCCACUCAGACCUGUGGGUGGGAUGAGGGCACCGUAGAGCCUAACCAUCUAACAGUAGCCCACAGCCCAAGGCUAAGCCCCAUCACUAACCUUUAUAUGGCCUGGAAUAUCUCUCCCAUUUCUAGGUAGCUGAAGCUGUUGCCACUUUCCUGAUCCGGCAUAGGUUUGCAGAACCCAUCGGUGGAUUCCAGUGUGUGUUUCCUGGCUGUUAGUGACCUGCUGUCCACCCCUCCUCAACAUCGAGCUCUGUUGUAAAUACGUCGCACCAGAGGCCACUGUGAUGCCACUGUCUCCUCUCCAUCCCGCCCAGCCAUGUGACACUGGCUCCCUGUAGACGGGCACCCCGAGAUGUACCAACCUUUUCAUGUAUUCUGCCAAAAGCAUUGUUUUCCAGGGCCCUUGACCAACAUCGGCUUCCCCAGUCCAGGGCUCCCCUGCUCCUUUCCCUUCCCUGUACUGGGGUAGCUCCUGCCUGCUCUCCCUGCGUUGCCUAGGGUAAAGCCUCCAGAUUUGCCAUACUGAGUCCCUCUUCCUAGCAUCAGGCGAUACACCAGAGUCCACACGUCUUCCCAGGCUCAGGGACCUCCAUUCCUUGAGAUUGUCUUGGCAUGGGCCAGCCCUGCCUCAUGGGAUGGACAAUGCAUGGGGUGGUCUUUAUUUUUCUCUUUCAAAUAAAACACUAGUCAGGUACCAUUUUAUCCCAGUCGUACUCUUCCAGGUUUGGAAGACCCAGAGAGGCCAAGAUCCCAUCCUUAGCCAUAGCGAGGGGUGGUGGUGGAUAGCAUCACAAGAAACCAGCCUGAAAAUCAGGUCCAGCCAGUCCAAGCACAUGGCCUCCCAUCUGGGAGAGCCCACUGUCCCACUCCCACAUGUCUGGGCACCUGCCCUGGGCUGAGGCCAGGCUGCUCCAGGGGCCUCCUGAGCCCUCACCUGCCACAGAGCAACCCAGGUUAAAUACAGCCCAUGCACAAAGCCACAGGCCAAAGCCUAUGGAAUUGUUUUUAAUCAUCAAAUUUAACCAUUUUCAUAACUGGUUCCUGGAGGUGUGCAGUGCCCCCUUGCCUCUUCAAACCUACAGCUUCUCUUUGCCAUUUGUGGAUUUCACAUCACUCCACACAGAAACGUUACAGCCUGGCAUCCCCAGUCUUUGCCUUCUUCCAGCUGCCUCGACACAGCACUGCGGCCUGUCCCUAUUGCCCAGGCACGCCAUUUCCAAGGGCAGGAAGGGGCAGUGUCCUGAAGCCCAUCUUUUCUGUGACUGUCUUAGGUGAUGUGUAGCCUCCUCCACCUUUCCACUCAACAACCUCCCACCCCUGUCCUGCUGCAUGGUCCGGAGUCUGGGACCUACUUUGUUUUUUGUUAUUUAUGACCUUGUUUAAAGAAAAUAAAUAUCUCCCAACCUUUA